RNAcentral lists this long non-coding RNA (324 nucleotides) under Olea europaea subsp. europaea. Lineage: Eukaryota; Viridiplantae; Streptophyta; Magnoliopsida; Lamiales; Oleaceae. The record is from RNAcentral.
CUUCUUUUCGCACUGACUUUUUGUGCAUUGUUGGUUAUUUGAUUCGUCUACAGUGACAACCACAAUUGUUGAAAAAUCACAUUUGCUUCUACAGUGGAGCCACAAUUCAACCGCCAUUCAUCUCAAGAACAGAAAGAGAUAAUAGUCAGCCUUUCAAUUAUUGAACUCUUAUCACAUGUGAGAUUUGGUUUUCGAUCUAGUGCUCCAUCUUCUUCGUACGUCUUCACUUUCACUUUGUCAUCUUCUAUACCUUGAUUAAUUUCCAAAAACAAAAUCACAAGCUCGAAAUCGGCUUCUCCUUCUUCUUCGGCUGGUGGGUUACAG